GACAACUCGCGGGGAUUGUUUUCCACACCGUGGAAGCUUUGUUCUUUUCGUUUUUUGCAAUAAAUCUUGUUGCUGCUCGCUUUUUGGGUCCACAUUGCUUUUAUGAGCUGUACCACUCACCGUGAAGAUCUGCAGCUUCACUUCAGAGCCUAGCGAGACCACAAGCUCACUGAGAGGAACAAACAACUCCAGACGCGCUGUCUUAAGAGCUAUAACACUCACCGCGAAGGUGUGCAGUUUCACUCCUGAGCUAGUGAGACUACGAAGCCACUGGAACGAAGAAACUCCAACCACGUUUGAACAUCAGAAGGGGCAGACUCCAGACGCUUCAUCUUAAGAGCUGUAACACUCACUGUGAAGGUCUGCAGCUUCACUCCUGAGCCAGCGAGACCACGAACCGAUCUGAACAUCAGAAGGGACAGACUCCAGAUGCCCCACCUUAAGAGCUGUAAUACUCACUGCAAGGGUCUGCAGCUUCAUUCUUGAAGUCAGACCAAGAACCCAGCAAUUCCCAACACACAGGGACCAGCUUCUUUCCUAACUCACUUAGGCUCUUCGUGCUGCUCUGGCAACUAACACCCUUGGCUGCAGGGGCUUGGACACUACCCUUAGUCACUGACAAUUGUGUGAAGGCUGCUGUCGUUAACUUCACUUGAUCACCUUAGGCUCCUGUGAAGUGGUGAGCAAUUCAAACAAAUUCCUGUCGUCAAAUCAUAUAAGAUCAAUCAGAUUCGUGUUUUGCAACUACUUCUUGGCAAGACGUACGGGACUGACCGCAGUUGACACAUGCCAAUAGGGGGAGAAAUCUGAAGACGUGUUUCUGUGCAGUGGUGGCACCCAGGGGCUCUGGCCAGAGGAGGUCACAGGAAGAUGCCUAGCGGCCCGUGGAGCGACCUGCCCCGCAUUGUCACUUGACCGCUGGUGUGCGAAGGGGAUAACACUGUGUUCAAUGUGUUUGUAACCUUGCAUGAAAAAAUUGAAGAAAUGUCACUUUCUUCUCACCCUCUCCCAGGCCAAUCAUCUGUCAUGAAUUCAAUAUGAGGCAAACGUCUGGUGAUCACAGGGACAAACUAGGGAUAGGCCUUUGGGAGAGGAAUCUACUCAGUUUGUGUUCAACCGGACUAUCCAGGUAGGGGAGCUGGCUGGAGAGGGAGCCAGCAUUUGUUGACUGUAAUCUCUGAGCUAGGGUCGCAAUUACAUCUUCUGCAUCUUUGUGUGCAUAGUACCAAGCACAGAAUUAUCCAGAGUAGACACUCAAUAAUUGUUUGUUGGAAGAGUCAUUGUUGCUUUUGCUUCCAAGCCCCUCACAAAUUUCCACACAGUGCAGUUGAGCUCGCACAGUCAAUGAACAGUUUAUAUCUGAUUAAUAGGGGCUGAUAGUCUGAGGUGGCCUGCCUUCUUGCAGAGAAAGUUUGGGGUGGGUUACUGAGACAGGCUGGAUUCAUGGGGUGAGUUGGCUCAUGACCCAACAUAGCCAGGAAGCAAAGCGGAUAUUCCUCUGAAUUUUGCAGGCCAGGUGUGGCAUGUGUCUGAAAUUUCAGCUGCUUUAUCUUUAUACCCAUCAUUUUGGUAAGACUAUGUGUCCAAUCUGAAAUUCACCAACAGGACAGGGCCAGCUGCCAGAACUGAAGUCCCAAGAAGAAAACCAAGCAAAGCUGAGACACAAACCUGAACUUUUGAACUUGUCAAUCUACUGAGUCAACUAACUCUGGGACUCCCAUGUCUGGACUUCUUCAUGUGUGUUAACCUAUCUUCCUUGUUGCUUUUGCCACAAGGUGUUCUGGUUCUUGUAACCAAACGCAUCCCAUCUGACUCACUGGGCACCUGACUCCAGUUGUGUAAAACAGGCCCAGAUAGCUUGCCUUUGCCUCCGUUGGCGUGUGGUGGACAAUUGUAAAUUUCCUUGUAAGGUAUAUUAGUCCGUUCUCACGCUGUUAUAAAGAACUGCUCAAGACUGGGUCAUUUAUAAAGGAAAGAGGUUUAAUUGACUCACAGUUCUGCACGGCUGGGGAGGCCUCAGGAAACUUACAAACAUGGCAGAAGGGAAAGGAGAAGCAGGCGCCUUCUUCAUAGGGUGGCAGGACAGAGUGAGAGCAAGCAGGGGAAAAUGCCAGAUGCUUAUAAAACCAUCAGAUCUCAUGAGAACUCACUAUCAUGAGGACAGCAUGGUGGUAAUCACUCCCAUGAUUCAAUUACCUCCCACAGGGUCCCUCCAACGACAUGUCGGGAUUAUGAGAACUACAAUUCAAGAUGAGAUUUGGGUGGGGACACAACCAAACGAUAUCAUAAGAAUCCUGAUUUUGUUUGGAAGGACAGCGUGCCUGGUUCCAGAUGGAGAAAUUGCACUGCAGAGAAAUCUUUAAAAGCAAUUACCUAAUACUGCAGAUUGCUGAACUGUACCCACACCCAAGACUGAGCAUUGGAUCAAUCCAGAAUAUACAUCAGGUGUUCUGCAAUGUCUGCCUAAAACCAUGACUCUGCCUCCUCCAGCUGUUGCUACAUCUCACUAUGGGUUUCCUGUGACAUUUUGAGCAAGUAUGCCUCUGUGACUGGGGUUCUUACACUCCAGAAUGGAUGAGAAGCACCCCUCCUGUGGAGCCGGCCGUGGAAACGCCCUGACAUGGAGUCAGAAGCCCGAGCCCGUGUUUCAGACUUGGCGUUCAUUGACCAGAAGAGCUGCUUCACCACUUAACCAUGCAGCUUCAAGGGCUCCAUCUGCAAAACGCAGGCUUGAACCACAGGACUGGUUAUGCUCCUUCUUGUUCUGUGUCCUCUAAAUCCACCCCGUGGGAUGGUUCUCAUCCUCAUUUCUAGGAAAACAAGGCCCAGGUGGAAUCUCUUUUCUCAUCUGCAGGACUGAUGCCUUUCUUGGCCUAAAUUUCAACAACAUGUGACUAUAAAACUUACCUGUGUGUGAACCCUACAGAUAUUUGCGGGGGUGUUGUGUGGGGAGAUGACCCCAUGGUGGGCCCCUAGCGCCGGCCUCUUGCUAUCAUGCUGAGCACGCCCACCUUGCCGCAGCCUAGGAUCUCCCUUUCCCACCGGCACUCUCUUGCCUGGAGUGUGGAUCCACUGUGGCUUUCCCUCGCCCCAUCCUCCAGCUUGGUGGGUAGUAAUAUCUUCUGUCCCUCUUUAGACUCGGGGGCCUAACUGGAAAACAGGUGCAUUGGUAGAUUUAGUAGCAGAGGAGUCCAAGAGUUCUAGUGCUCUACAUGGGCAUGAGACCAAAGCCCAUAAAUACAUGUUCGCGGGGUGCCUACUGUAUACCCAAUGCUGUAAGGUAGUGUCCCCAAAGCAUACUGCUGCAGAACACUAGUUUUGUGGGGUGUUCAACGAUAUUACCUGGAGAAAAGAGUCCAGAAUCUAACAAGUUUGGGAAACUCUGGAUUAAAUAAGGUUAACUAUGUUUCUUUUAGGUAGUCCUUCUCAGAGACUUAAGAUGAGAGCAUGCAUUGGGAACUUCCAAAAUGGGAGAUGCAGUGGGAGGCACUCCCAUAGUUAGGUAACCAGGCAGCCCCUUUUUACUUAUUUUAUUUUAUUUUUUUGAGAUGGAGUCUUACUAUGUUACCCAGGCUGGACUCAAACUUCUGAGCUCAAGCAGUUAUCCCACCUCAGCCUUAUCCCACCUCAGCCUCCUAAGUAGCUGGGACUACAGGCACGAGCCACCACACCUGGCUUUUUUAAAAACAAAGGACCAUAUUUUGGAAACACAUAGGCCCUGUAGCACACAGACCCAUGGGAUCUCCUGGCCACCUGGCCCAGCCCAUCUUCCGCAGAUAUGAAUCCUGGACCUGAGGGAGAAGCGAAGCAACUUGCCCCAGGGCCCCACGGCUAACACUGUAGGCCACGCUUCCCAUUUCUCAGCUGAAAUAA
This is a long non-coding RNA of Homo sapiens (human), 3873 nucleotides long. NCBI's taxonomy places the organism in Eukaryota, Metazoa, Chordata, Mammalia, Primates, Hominidae. The record is from Ensembl.